AAGAAGUUAGUUAAAAAAUAACAUUAGUAUGUCAAACUAAAGUCAUUAUCAUUUAAUACAUCUUU
RNAcentral lists this transfer RNA (65 nucleotides) under Deroplatys truncata. Its description in RNAcentral is "tRNA-Asp". The record is from RNAcentral. Lineage: Eukaryota; Metazoa; Arthropoda; Insecta; Mantodea; Mantidae.